Molecule: long non-coding RNA, 1006 nt
Organism: Fukomys damarensis (Damara mole-rat)
Lineage: Eukaryota; Metazoa; Chordata; Mammalia; Rodentia; Bathyergidae
Exons: 3
Source: RefSeq, a predicted model, not a curated record
GUUUUGUUUUGUUUUUUGUUUGUUCGUUUGUUGAGAUAAGGUCUCACUAGGCAGCUCAAACUAGCUUCAUCUUGGGCUCUUCCUGCCUCAGCCUCCUGUGUACCUGGGAUCACAGACGUGCACCGCUGUGCCUGCCUGCUGUUCCUGUUUCAUUUAGCCGCCCAGCUGUCAUCAUUUGCUACGGCAGCUGUGGAACCCCCACCAAGGAAGAGAAGGAUCCUAUGCACCUGCCUGAGUUCUUGGCGCCCACUGCACUCUCCUCCUCAUCCAGGAAUCCUCCCUGAUGCUCAACAGAGCUUCUGCUUCUCUGCCCAGACGUGGCCACCACACCUGGCAGUAUCUGUAUCCAAGCUAGAGCCUUGCUGGGGUCCAAAGGACAGCGUAUCCGGCAUCCAUCAACCAACAGCCAAUCUCCAGAGAAAGACCUUGUCUCAGAAAACAAAAAGAAGGAGGGUAUGUCCCACUAUUGUCAUCUGCCACAAGGCAACACGACCCAAGGAACCCCUGCCAGAGUCACGCCUUCCUGCUCAGACUUCCAGCCUACAGAAGGGCGAGUCAGGUGAGUCUCUUUUCUUACUAAGAUGUCUGUGCCUAGGGUGGGCUGUGACAGUCAGGCAGAAGGGACUGACACGCAUGGCCUAGCGCGCCCGCACCCUGGGGUAUGACCGUCCCCAUUCCUUGGUGGUGCUGGGGCAGAAGCCAGGGCAUCAGGUGUACAGAGCAGGUGCCUCACCGGCCCCCACCACUGUGCCUCUUGCCAAUGAUGGGGCGGUGCCUCAAAGCCUGCUUGUCACGCCUGGCUCGUGGCGGUGUCCAUUGCUGCAACCACUUGGGGACGCCAGUUGGUGCCUAGCAGUGCAGCUGGCCAUCUGCACCCAGGGCUCCACGUCCCCACCUCCAAACAGUGCAGAUGGAAGAGAAGACAUAAAUGGUGUCUGUGCCCAACAUGCAGAGCAUUUUCUUUUCUUGUCGUGAGUCCUUAAAUAACACAGCAUCACAACUAUGU